UAUAUAUGAUCGAUAGACGACCGAUCACACGUACUCUCAUCAGAAAAUUAAAAGGUUUAAAAAGAAAAGGACAUGCAUAUACUACACAUGCAUGCACAAGCAGAUUAUGUGUAAUAACCUAACCCAUGCAUGCAUGCAGAUUAUGCAGAGCAACAACGAACGACGACAUACACACAUAUAUAGUAUGAGCGAUCAAAUUAGAGCAAAUCAUAAUGCUCAUGCAUUUUAAUAAAAUUAAGCGGGGCAGGUGAAGUCCGCGGGGCAGAUCUUGCCGCAGUGGUUGAGGAGGAGGGUCAGGUCGACGGGCACGUUGAGGUUGAUGCCCAGGAUGUUGGCCUUGAUGGCGGUGCAGAGGCAGACGGCGGCGUCUAGGUCCACCAGGCCUUCCAGCAGCGGACAGCACUGGUCGUUCUUCGGGGGGAUGCUGAGCUUCAGUAGGUUCAGCACGUUGGCACACACCUCCAGCUUCAGCGCGUUCAUCGGGCACGACCCGCCGCCACCGCCAGAAGGCGGCGAUGGUGGCGGCACCACCGGCGGAGUAGGACAGUACGGCGUGCAGCCAUGCACCAGGGCCAGGACAGUGGAGAGGAUGGUCAGGGCCAGGAACAGGGAAAUAAGCUUGGAUGCCAUUGCUACCGAUCAGAGAGCUAGCUAGUAGCUAUAGCUCUUCAAUCAAAGGGAUUAAGUGUUUCUUUUGAUCGAGCUAGGUGU
Molecule: long non-coding RNA, 711 nt
Filed under: Sorghum bicolor (sorghum)
Lineage: Eukaryota; Viridiplantae; Streptophyta; Magnoliopsida; Poales; Poaceae
Description: long non-coding RNA (SBIC_LNC007603)
Source: RNAcentral